Long non-coding RNA from Hippocampus zosterae (dwarf seahorse), 1092 nucleotides. RefSeq lists it as uncharacterized. The transcript is spliced from 3 exons. NCBI's taxonomy places the organism in Eukaryota, Metazoa, Chordata, Actinopteri, Syngnathiformes, Syngnathidae. The record is from RefSeq and is a predicted model, not a curated record.
UGAUCACAAGGGAUUGGGAUUGACACAGAGCUCGUCUGCUCCAGAAGAAGGUGUACCCGUGCCGAGGCUCCUCGAUCUGCCCGGCACCAGGGAGACGGGUCUCGGAGAGGGCCACAAUGUCCAGGCCGAGCUUCUGAAUCUCAAGGGCGAUGAGGGCAGUCCUGCGCUCCGGUCUAUUUACUCUUGCAUUGUCCAUCAGGGAUGAAUCUGCUGGAGGCGGGUCUCCAGCCGAUCGGUGGCGGUGAUGGGCGUGUUUAGGCAGCCUUUUAUUGGCCCUUCCUCGGAUUGAGGGGAGCAGCGCUACGACUAAAGAGUCCUGCUCCGCCACCGUGGUCGCUGCCUCUCCCCUGCACCAUCACCAGUUCGCAAGGGGAGCGACCAUCGUGCCACGGCCACCGACGUGUGGUUGUGGAACUAGGGACGUGGGCCCUCAACUGAGCCUGUCCCCGACGCCCCGCGCCAUCGCCGCCGGACUUCUUGAGGUUAAGGGGAUCGGGAGAAGGGGGAAACAGGUUGAGGAGGCAGGAGGGGGAGGGGUGCCCCUGCACUUCGACCCCGUGGCCAGGGUCCACGGCAGCGCGGUGGCCGACGGUGGUGGUCCAGGGGGUCUGCAGCACUCGAGGUUGGACCGUGGGUACCCGGUGUUUUAUUUUGAAGGGUGGACAUUCCUUCAUAACCCAUGGGGAUGGUCGGCUUGGCGAUCCGGUCCGCCGCCUUGCUAGGCGCUUAACGCCAGGACUGCGGUGGAUUUGUAUACCGCCGGACGCGGUGCCGCGGGAUUUUGCUGACCCGAAGGUCAUUACCACUUCGCACCAACUCUCCAGUAAUGGAAAGUCCCGUCAUUUCGGCGUGGAGGCUCCCUUACGGACUUCACUGCGAUCCACUAGGAAUUGGCGACGGUUUUAUCCGCACCUUUGAGUCUAGGGAUCGCAGAUCUUUUGCGAGUUGUCAGAAAAUAGGCAAACACUUACAAGACCAAACCCAUGACUAACAGUAACAAGAAAAAAACUAAACAAAAAAAACUUACAAAAGGUAAGCGAAGACGACUAAGCGGAAUCAGAAAACGAAGAACAUGAGCGCUUGUGACGUCUU